GAACAGGCCGGACAAGGUGGCAUGCAGGAAUGCAGGGGUGCCUGUGUGUGUGUGCGGGUGCGCACGCAUAAACCUGCCACGGUUCUCUAGGGGAAGGAUUUGCCUGAGCUCCUCAAAUUUUCUCAGUUCCCUUUACUGACCAGGUGGUCAGAGCUGCUCCCCUUAGUCUGGGAAUGUCAUACAGAUAGAGCACAUGCUCUGGGCUAAUACAUUUGUCAACACUGACACCUCUGGCCAAACCUAUUCAUUACAAUCAAGGGACCUGAGAGUCUCAUCCCCGCCUCUUCCCUGGGCUCUGAAAACAUCCCACAUUCACUUUCCUAUGCAGAUGCUGGUGGGGACAUGGAGCUGCUGCAGCUCCUCUCUCUGCUAAUGGGGCUGCUGGCCACUGCCCUCUCAGGUGCAGAGGGCAGAUUAGUGGAGCAGUCAUCCCCAUAUUUAAUGGUGCGGUUGGGAGCAUCAGAGUCAGUGACCUGCACCUUGAAGGACACAACCUACCCCUGGAUGAGUUGGUAUCUGCAGGAUGUCCAAAGCCAGCUGCACUUCCUGGUGCAAUCAGGAACCAAGGGUGACCCUGAGGAAAUAUCCUUGAUGGAAAUAUCCUACACGUCUGAGCGGGUCAGUAGCACGGAGCUCAGGUUGGAGAUAAAGAAUGUGACUCAAUCCCAGACCAUCUACUGCACCUGCAGCACAGGGCACACCAAGCAGGACAGUGUGAGAGAGCUGCAGAGUGGUGGCACCGAAAUAAUUGGGGGAAUGAGGGAGUCAGAGCAGCUCGCCAUCCCAGUCCCUGGCAGGUGCCUUUUCCAUCUGCUGAGCACCACUAGGGGCAGAGAGGGAGAAGAAGAGGUCUGGCUGCACCCUCCUUCGAGUGCCAUAAUGAGGACACUGUCCAUCGAACAAAUCUCCAAUGUGACCAGCAGCAAAUGA
Non-coding RNA from Dermochelys coriacea (leatherback sea turtle), 930 nucleotides. The record is from the annotation of a RefSeq genome assembly. Lineage: Eukaryota; Metazoa; Chordata; Testudines; Dermochelyidae.